CCUACGGGAGGCAGCAGUGAGGAAUAUUGGUCAAUGGACGAAAGUCUGAACCAGCCAAGUAGCGUGCAGGAUGACUGCCCUAUGGGUUGUAAACUUCUUUUAUAAAGGAAUAAAACGAGGCACGUGUGCCUUUUUGCAUGUACUUUAUGAAUAAGGAUCGGCUAACUCCGUGCCAGCAGCCGCGGUAAUACGGAGGAUCCGAGCGUUAUCCGGAUUUAUUGGGUUUAAAGGGAGCGUAGAUGGGUUGUUAAGUCAGUUGUGAAAGUUUGCGGCUCAACCGUAAAAUUGCAAUUGAUACUGGCAGUCUUGAGUACAGUUGAGGUAGGCGGAAUUCGUGGUGUAGCGGUGAAAUGCUUAGAUAUCACGAAGAACCCCGAUUGCGAAGGCAGCUUACGAAACUGUGACUGACAUUGAUGCUCGAAAGUGUGAGUAUCAAACAGGAUUAGAUACCCCUGUAGUC
RNAcentral lists this ribosomal RNA (460 nucleotides) under uncultured bacterium. RNAcentral describes it as "partial 16S ribosomal RNA". It matches the Rfam family "Bacterial small subunit ribosomal RNA", at positions 338 to 795 of the family's 1533-position model. The record is from RNAcentral.